AUCAACGCUGGCGGCGCGCUUAACACAUGCAAGCCGAACGAGAAAGCCGGGGCAACCUGGUGAGUAAAGUGGCGUACGGGUGAGUAACACGUGGAUCAUCUACCCUGGAGUGGGGAAUAACGCUGGGAAACCGGCGCUAAUACCGCAUAAUCCCGAGAGGGCAAAGGAAGCAAUUCCGUUUCAGGAGGAGUCUGCGGCCGAUUAGCUUGUUGGCAGGGUAAAAGCCUACCAAGGCANCGAUCGGUAGCCGGCCUGAGAGGGCACACGGCCACACUGGCACUGAAACACGGGCCAGACUCCUACGGGAGGCAGCAGUGGGGAAUCUUGCACAAUGGGGGCAACCCUGAUGCAGCGACGCCGCGUGAGCGAUGAAGCUCCUCGGAGUGUUAAGCUCUUUCGGCAGGGAAGAUUAUGACGGUACCUGCAGAAGCAGCUGCGGCUAACUACGUGCCAGCAG
RNAcentral lists this ribosomal RNA (457 nucleotides) under uncultured bacterium. RNAcentral describes it as "bacterial SSU rRNA". It matches the Rfam family "Bacterial small subunit ribosomal RNA", at positions 32 to 514 of the family's 1533-position model. The record is from RNAcentral.